AUGGCAGAGGCAGCCCUCUUCCAUCAAUAUCACCAAGAGAGAGCAAUUGAGGGUGUUGAGGACCUAGAACCUGGUGACCUGAUAGAAAUCUUCCGUGAUAACUGUCAGCACUGGGCUGUGUACAUUGGUGAUAGAUACAUUGUUGAGUUGGUUGCUCUUGGCAAUUCUAGGAUUUCGCAAGUCGUAUCAGUAGUGCCAGGUGAAGUGAGAAAGAUAAAACUCCAAGAUGUGGUCAACCAAGACAAGUGGAAAAAAAAUAAUGAAAAACAUCCAAACUACAACAGCAAGUUGAAACCCAGGCCAAAGAAAGAAAUUGUGAAAGAAGCCCUUUCACGUGUGGGGAAGACUCAGUACAAUGUUGCUACUUGGAACUGUGAGCACUUUGCCACCGAGUGCCGUUAUGGCACAGCUCUGUCUCUACAGGUAUGUAGAUGGAUGGUUUAAAUGGAUAAUUUA
This is a long non-coding RNA of Scomber japonicus (chub mackerel), 456 nucleotides long. RefSeq lists it as uncharacterized. Lineage: Eukaryota; Metazoa; Chordata; Actinopteri; Scombriformes; Scombridae. The transcript is spliced from 3 exons. The record is from RefSeq and is a predicted model, not a curated record.